Molecule: ribosomal RNA, 397 nt
Filed under: uncultured bacterium
Lineage: Bacteria
Description: bacterial SSU rRNA
Rfam family: Bacterial small subunit ribosomal RNA
Source: RNAcentral
UAAUACGUAGGGUGCGAGCGUUAAUCGGAAUUACUGGGCGUAAAGCGUGCGCAGGCGGUUUUGUAAGACAGAUGUGAAAUCCCCGGGCUUAACCUGGGAACUGCGUUUGUGACUGCAAGGCUAGAGUACGGCAGAGGGGGGUGGAAUUCCUGGUGUAGCAGUGAAAUGCGUAGAGAUCAGGAGGAACACCGAUGGCGAAGGCAGCCCCCUGGGCCUGUACUGACGCUCAUGCACGAAAGCGUGGGGAGCAAACAGGAUUAGAUACCCUGGUAGUCCACGCCCUAAACGAUGUCGACUAGUCGUUCGGAGCAGCAAUGCACUGAGUGACGCAGCUAACGCGUGAAGUCGACCGCCUGGGGAGUACGGCCGCAAGGUUAAAACUUAAAGGAAUUGACGG